ACAUAAGUGAGAGGAUUAGAUGCAGUCUCAGCUGAAGACUAUCAAAAGGAUUGAAACGUGGAGAGUUUCAGUCACACAGAAAGAAGUGUUAAGAAUUUCCCUUUGAUGCUCUGAAGGCUAAAGGUAAUGUCCAGUAUUUUGUUCAAUAGGUUUUCAUCUUACUGAAAAGUUUCGUGAUAUUAAU
This 184-nucleotide long non-coding RNA is filed under the name Bos mutus (wild yak). RNAcentral's name for it is "lncRNA (ENSBMUG00000018856.1)". The record is from RNAcentral. Lineage: Eukaryota; Metazoa; Chordata; Mammalia; Artiodactyla; Bovidae.